CCUACGGGUGGCUGCAGUAGGGAAUCUUCCGCAAUGGACGAAACUCUGACCCAGCGACGCCGCGUAUAGGAAGAAGUUUUUCGGAAUGUAAACUAUUGUCGUUAGAGAAGAGAAAGGACAGUACCUACGGAGGAAGCUCCGGCUAACUACGUGCCAGCAGCCGCGGUAAUACGUAGGGAGCGAGCGUUGUCCGGAAGUAUUGGGUGUAAAGGGUGCGUAGGCGGGAAAACAAGUUAGUUGUGAAAUCCCUCGGCUUAACUGAGGAAGGGCAACGAAAACUAUUAGUCUUGAGUGCAGGAGAGGAAAGUGGAAUUCCUUGUGUAGCGGUGAAAUGCGUAGAUAUUUGGAGGAACACCAGUGGCGAAGGCGACUUUCUGGACUGUAACUGACGUUGAGGCACGAAAGUGUGGGGAGCAAACAGGAUUAGAUACCCUAGUAGUC
Molecule: ribosomal RNA, 441 nt
Filed under: uncultured bacterium
Lineage: Bacteria
Description: partial 16S ribosomal RNA
Rfam family: Bacterial small subunit ribosomal RNA
Source: RNAcentral